This 477-nucleotide ribosomal RNA is filed under the name uncultured bacterium. RNAcentral describes it as "partial 16S ribosomal RNA". It matches the Rfam family "Bacterial small subunit ribosomal RNA", at positions 28 to 507 of the family's 1533-position model. The record is from RNAcentral.
GAUUAACGCUGGCGGCGUGCAUAACACAUGCAAGUCGAACGAUGAAACUUAACUGAUUUCUUCGGAAUGAUUUUAAGUGGAUUAGUGGCGGACGGGUGAGUAACGCGUGAGUAACCUGCCUUGGAGAAGGGGAUAGCCUUUGGAAACGAAGAAUAAUACCCUAUGAUAUGAUAAUAUCUCAUGAUAUUAUCAUCAAAGAUUUAUCGCUCUAAGAUGGACUUGCGUCUGAUUAGUUAGUUGGUGAGGUAACAGCUCACCAAGGCAGCGAUCAGUAGCCGGCUUGAGAGAGUGUACGGCCACAUUGGGACUGAGACACGGCCCAGACUCCUACGGGAGGCAGCAGUGGGGAAUUUUGCACAAUGGGGGAAACCCUGAUGCAGCGACGCCGCGUGAUUUGGAAGGCCUUCGGGUUGUAAAAAUCUUUUGUAUGGGAAGAAAAUGACAGUACCAUACGAAUAAGGACCGGCUAAUUACGUG